GACGAACGCUGGCGGCGUGCUUAACACAUGCAAGUCGAGCGGUAAGGCCCUUUCGGGGGUACACGAGCGGCGAACGGGUGAGUAACACGUGGGUGACCUGCCCUCAGCUCUGGGAUAAGCCUGGGAAACCGGGUCUAAUACCGGAUAUGACUCCAUGACGCAUGUUGUGGGGUGGAAAGCCUUGUGCGGCUGAGGAUGGGCCCGCGGCCUAUCAGCUUGUUGGUGGGGUGAUGGCCUACCAAGGCGACGACGGUAGCCGGCCUGAGAGGGCGACCGGCCACACUGGGACUGAGACACGGCCAGACUCCUACGGGAGGCAGCAGUGGGGAAUCUUGCGCAAUGGGCGAAAGCCUGACGCAGCGACGCCGCGUGAGGGAUGACGGCCUGGUGUAACUC
RNAcentral lists this ribosomal RNA (396 nucleotides) under uncultured bacterium. RNAcentral's name for it is "bacterial SSU rRNA". It matches the Rfam family "Bacterial small subunit ribosomal RNA", at positions 28 to 431 of the family's 1533-position model. The record is from RNAcentral.